ACAUAUUCAUUAGCAUGUCUUGCAUAACAGAUACCGCCACAGUGUUCUCAGUUUGUUUGGUGUUCAAUCAGCAGGAUAGCUGACCCAGGCAUUCACCGGUACGGUACCCGCAGAAACCAAUAGAGAAUAAUGGAAAGCCUACAAGCAGAGUUCGCCGAGAUGAAAAUCCGUAUGAAUCAAUUCAUGGAUGUGGUUCAAGGGGUGGCUCAGGGACAGCAAGAGCUCAGGCAGAUGAUACAGAGGAAUCCCC
RNAcentral lists this long non-coding RNA (250 nucleotides) under Lathyrus oleraceus (garden pea). RNAcentral describes it as "Pisum sativum (pea) long non-coding RNA (PSAT_LNC040810)". The record is from RNAcentral. Lineage: Eukaryota; Viridiplantae; Streptophyta; Magnoliopsida; Fabales; Fabaceae.